RNAcentral lists this ribosomal RNA (424 nucleotides) under Verrucomicrobiota bacterium. RNAcentral's name for it is "Verrucomicrobia bacterium partial 16S ribosomal RNA". It matches the Rfam family "Bacterial small subunit ribosomal RNA", at positions 355 to 776 of the family's 1533-position model. The record is from RNAcentral. Lineage: Bacteria; Pseudomonadati; Verrucomicrobiota.
UGAGGAAUAUUGGUCAAUGGACGCAAGUCUGAACCAGCCAAGUAGCGUGCAGGAUGACGGCCCUAUGGGUUGUAAACUGCUUUUAUAUGGGGAUAAAGUGGGGAACGUGUUCCCUUUCGUAGGUACCAUAUGAAUAAGGACCGGCUAAUUUCGUGCCAGCAGCCGCGGUAAUACGGAAGGUUCGGGCGUUAUCCGGAUUUAUUGGGUUUAAAGGGAGCGUAGGCCGUUUGGUAAGCGUGUUGUGAAAUGUAGGAGCUUAACUUCUAGAUUGCAGCGCGAACUGUCAGACUUGAGUGCGCGCAACGUAGGCGGAAUUCAUGGUGUAGCGGUGAAAUGCUUAGAUAUCAUGAAGAACUCCGAUUGCGAAGGCAGCUUACGGGAGCGAAACUGACGCUGAAGCACGAAGGUGCGGGUAGCGAACAGG